CUGUCUCUACGGCUGCUGUGCUCCUGGCGGACAUCCUCCCCACACUCGUCAUCAAAUUGUUGGCUCCUCUUGGCCUUCACCUGCUGCCCUACAGCCCCCGGGUUCUCGUCAGUGGGAUUUGUGCUGCUGGAAGCUUCGUCCUGGUUGCCUUUUCUCAUUCUGUGGGGACCAGCCUGUGUGGUGUGGUCUUCGCUAGCAUCUCAUCAGGCCUUGGGGAGGUCACCUUCCUCUCCCUCACUGCCUUCUACCCCAGGGCCGUGAUCUCCUGGUGGUCCUCAGGGACUGGGGGAGCUGGGCUGCUGGGGGCCCUGUCCUACCUGGGCCUCACCCAGGCCGGCCUCUCCCCUCAGCAGACCCUGCUGUCCAUGCUGGGUAUCCCUGCCCUGCUGCUGGCCAGCUAUUUCUUGUUGCUCACAUCUCCUGAGGCCCAGGACCCUGGAGGGGAAGAAGAGGCAGAGAGCGCAGCCCGGCAGCCCCUCAUAAGAACCGAGGCCCCGGAGUCGAAGCCAGGCUCCAGCUCCAGCCUCUCCCUUCGGGAAAGGUGGACAGUGUUCAAGGUUCGGAUGAUGGCUGGGGUAUGUCCCUGUGGGGCUUGCUCACCUCCAGGCCCCCCGCUUAUAUCUUCUGCCUUUUCCAGGGUCUGCUGUGGUACAUUGUUCCCUUGGUCGUAGUUUACUUUGCCGAGUAUUUCAUUAACCAGGGACUUGUAAGUGAGGGGUGCUAGGAGGGGUGUGGAGGUGGCGAUUGGGGCUGGGACCCACACGGCCCCGUCCAUCUCCCCUGUCUGGUAUUUGUUGCAGUUUGAACUCCUCUUUUUCCGGAACACUUCCCUGAGUCACGCUCAGCAAUACCGCUGGUACCAGAUGCUGUACCAGGCUGGCGUCUUUGCCUCCCGCUCUUCUCUCCGCUGCUGUCGCAUCCGUUUCACCUGGGCCCUGGCCCUGCUGCAG
Molecule: small RNA, 950 nt
Filed under: Pan troglodytes (chimpanzee)
Lineage: Eukaryota; Metazoa; Chordata; Mammalia; Primates; Hominidae
Description: retained intron
Source: RNAcentral